CCUACGGGAGACAGCAGUGAGGAAUAUUGGUCAAUGGACGGGAGUCUGAACCAGCCAAGUCGCGUGAAGGAUGACUGCCCUAUGGGUUGUAAACUUCUUUUAUAUAGGGAUAAAAUGUUCCACGUGUGGGAUUUUGUAUGUACCAUAUGAAUAAGGAUCGGCUAACUCCGUGCCAGCAGCCGCGGUAAUACGGAGGAUCCGAGCGUUAUCCGGAUUUAUUGGGGUUAAAGGGUGCGUAGGUGGAUUGUUAAGUCAGUUGUGAAAGUUUGCGGCUCAACCGUAAAAUUGCAGUUGAAACUGGCAGUCUUGAGUCCAGGAGAGGUGUGCGGAAUUCGUGGUGUAGCGGUGAAAUGCUUAGAUAUCACGAAGAACUCCGAUUGCGAAGGCAGUUCACUGGACUGCAACUGACACUGAGGCUCGAAAGUGUGGGUAUCAAACAGGAUUAGAUACCCCUGUAGUC
RNAcentral lists this ribosomal RNA (460 nucleotides) under uncultured bacterium. RNAcentral describes it as "partial 16S ribosomal RNA". It matches the Rfam family "Bacterial small subunit ribosomal RNA", at positions 338 to 795 of the family's 1533-position model. The record is from RNAcentral.